This is a long non-coding RNA of Daphnia magna, 591 nucleotides long. RefSeq lists it as uncharacterized. Lineage: Eukaryota; Metazoa; Arthropoda; Branchiopoda; Diplostraca; Daphniidae. The transcript has 2 exons. The record is from RefSeq and is a predicted model, not a curated record.
CCUGAUUGGGUCCGACACCCAGUGAGAAAAUUGUUGUUACACCAUUAUUUGCUAGCUAUUUCGAAGAUUCAUCAGCAACUUUAUCUGCAGUAUUGCUAAACCCUGAAGAACAGACUGCGGAAUACAGUGAUCAUAUGGAUCUUGAAACAGCAAACACUCAUUCCAAAAAUGAACCAGUUGAUGAAGUAAUAAGUCACUGGGUGUCGAUGACUGUUGAUCUUUACUUUCCACUUGCUUCCUGUUGCAUUUUAUUAAAUGACAUUGCAAUUUAUUUUUUGCAUCUUCUUUACUUGUUAUUAUAUCAGCAUUACACUUCACGUUGGGGACCCAAUCAGGGUGAGACUCAUCUUUGUUAGGAGUCCCUGCAACACCAAAUAACAACAUUAAACAUAUGUUAAAUUGUUGUAUAUGAAUUCUUUACUAACCAGUGAUAAAAUGUUCAUUACAAACCCUAGUAUCACUGUGAUCAGUUAUGGAAAUGCUAUUCUUUAGUUGCUUGAUCCACAACGAACGUCUUUUCUUCUGUAAUUGUUGUACUGAUUCUGUGUCUUUCUGUAUUACUUUUGGAAUACAAAAGAAAGAUACUCUGUU